Molecule: ribosomal RNA, 776 nt
Filed under: Leptolyngbya sp. CMP4
Lineage: Bacteria; Bacillati; Cyanobacteriota; Cyanophyceae; Leptolyngbyales; Leptolyngbyaceae
Description: bacterial SSU rRNA
Source: RNAcentral
GSKKGCSGAWGCUUAMCAUGCAAGUCGAACGGACCUUUUCGGAGGUUAGUGGCGGACGGGUGAGUAACGCGUGAGGAUCUGGCUUCAGGAUGGGGAUAACAUUGGGAAACUGAUGCUAAUACCCGAUAUGGCGAGAGCUGAAAGAUUUAUCGCCUGAAGAUGAACUCGCGUCCGAUUAGCUAGUUGGAGUGGUAAUGGCACCCCAAGGCGACGAUCGGUAGCUGGUCUGAGAGGAUGAUCAGCCACACUGGGACUGAGACACGGCCCAGACUCCUACGGGAGGCAGCAGUGGGGAAUUUUCCGCAAUGGGCGCAAGCCUGACGGAGCAAUACCGCGUGCGGGAGGACGGCCUUUGGGUUGUAAACCGCUUUUCUCAGGGAAGAAGAUCUGACGGUACCUGAGGAAUCAGCAUCGGCUAACUCCGUGCCAGCAGCCGCGGUAAUACGGAGGAUGCAAGCGUUAUCCGGAAUUAUUGGGCGUAAAGCGUCCGCAGGUGGUUAAUCAAGUCUGCUGUUAAAGCGUGGAGCUUAACUCCAUAUAGGCGGUGGAAACUGAUGAACUAGAGUACGGUAGGGGUCACGGGAAUUCCCAGUGUAGCGGUGAAAUGCGUAGAUAUUGGGAAGAACACCAGCGGCGAAAGCGCGUGACUGGGCCGUCACUGACACUCAUGGACGAAAGCUAGGGGAGCGAAAGGGAUUAGAUACCCCUGUAGUCCUAGCUGKAAACGAUGGACACUAGGUGUUGCCCGUAUCGACCCGAGCCGKGSCGAAGCCAAA